Long non-coding RNA from Triticum urartu, 2736 nucleotides. RefSeq lists it as uncharacterized. Lineage: Eukaryota; Viridiplantae; Streptophyta; Magnoliopsida; Poales; Poaceae. The record is from RefSeq and is a predicted model, not a curated record.
GAGAAAAAAACGUACCCGCACAACCCACAACCCAACCUCCCAAUCCCAUCUCCACCUCCAGCGCUCCUCCACCCCCGCCGCCGCCGCCGGCCCCUGCCGCGCGCCGCCGACCCCCUCCUUGCGGCCUAUUCCGCCGGGGCGCUACCCCUACCCCAAGUGCCCCACCCCGCGGCCUUCCACCGCCGACGACACACGACGCCGCGCCGUUGCCGGCUCCCCCUCCCCUGCUACCACGGUGCUCCGGGACUCCCCCCCUUUGCUUCGCCCUGGGCGUUGUUCCCCCCAACCCCGCCGGUUUCGCCACCGGCCACAACUUCCCGGCGCACUCCACCAACCGACGGACCAGUUCGCCCGCCUCCCAUGGCUAACAUCGCUGCUACCCCAGUGUCGCUUCCCACCCCAGGGGCUCAUCUCCUCCACCUGCGCGCCACUCCCCGACCUUCCCUUUUCGCGCCGUAUGCUCCCUCCCGCUUCACUGCCUGGCAUGUGCCAGGUCCAAUCUGGACGAGCAGGACAACGUAGCCAGCCAUAUGCGCCCCUCCAAUCUGAACGGCUUGCUCUGCAUGAUGCCGCUUGCUUGCUGUGUGUGGGGUAUAUUUUUGUUGUACUCUUAAUUUGCUGUUGAUGUCAUAUGCUACAGAUUCACGUUUUUUAUGAGAUACUUGGAAUACGUAAGAGUACUGAUAUAGUAGAAACUAUUUUCCUGAUGACUGAAUGAAGUUGAAACUUUGACAACGGAUGUAGCAGGGUUAGCAGAAAACAUGAUGCACGAUUGAAUUAAACAUGCAGGGUUCAAUACGCAUCCCUGAUUAUUCUUAUGUUUAUUAUUUUUAAUAAUCUACCACUUCUGGCAUCCUGUCGGUGAGUCUUCUUUUGGUCUGCAAACCAUAGUCAUUGUAGCUUUGCUCCAGUUUGCCAAUGUAUAGCUGAAUAUGAGCCAUCUACUUGCUGGAAGUGGUCACAUAUGGGGUAACUUUUAGUGGCAGGGUGAAGUAAUGGUACUGGCAUUUGUAUUACUGAAAGUACAGUAUAUACUUUGUGUUAUUUUGCAUGCUCUCUAUGUGUUCUCGUCUUGGCAGGGGAUGCUUGGUGAUAACUCCUUAAAUGCUCUGAGUAAUAAUUGAGAAUACAUAGACAAUGUCAAAUUGAAGUGUGAUAUUUGUAUGUCAUAUUUACUCCACAAUAUCUUUUUAUGUGUUCUUCUCAUUCUUUUUACAUAGACGUAAUGAUUUCUUUAUGCCGCAAUGUUACUUAUGCCAUUUGGAUUUGGACAACAUGCCGCAGUGUCACUUCGAUCUCUGGAUGGUUGGUGGCCACCUUAAUUAGAAUCGUUAGGGGUAAUGUAGUUGCAAUGCAGUAUCUAUGCGUGGGCUACCGGAUGGAGUUGCAACAGCUGUUGUCAAAAGCCGGAUGUUUUGGAGAUGCCAUGUUUAAUUAAUUAAUUAAUCAUCUUUUGUGGUGCCAUUAGUUCUGAUCCUGGGCUAGGAGGAUUUAAUAUUCUUAAUCAUGUUUUCAUGCAAAUUGACCCAGUUCGUCCGUUGAUUGAUUACUGGACUCCGAGUUGCAUUGCUUAUUUUGGUAAGUGAGAACGUAUGACUGUAAUUCUGCAUACAUCAUCAUGCUAUUUCCUCCUAAUUUAUAUAUGAAGAUUAAGUGUCCUUUUUUACCUAAAAUUUACUUGAAUAUUUAACUGAGAAUUACUUCAUUGUGUGUCAUGCCUAUCUUAUUCCAUCCACAUGAUCUAUGGACCACAGAUAUAGUUCUCAAUCCAAGGAGAGUCCGAAAACUAAUAAUUUGUGCCUUGAAUAACGAAUGUACUUUUUUUGUUCUAAUCUUGAAACCUUGGCUAAUGUAAUAAUAUUGGUGUCACGGUGGUCUUCAUAGCUGUAGUGAGUACAAUCUAACAGAAGCAAAAGUCUCUAUUGAUUGUUGUAGGAGAUCCAGAAAGCGGAGCAUUGGGGCACUCUGAUUUUUAAGAAGCUCCAUGCACGUAUUAAGGCCAGUAAAUUCAAUUUGUUUUUCAUCUGCUUCUCUAUGGUCUGUUGUCCUUAUUCGAUGUGUUAUUCAGGUAUGUGUUGUUAACGCUCCUAAUUUUGGGAGAAUCAGAAAAAAAUAAGUUUUGCAAGUUACAUCAUAUUUCCAUGUUUUAGUAUGAGAUUUAGAUAUAUUGUUUCUCCGGUUCCAUAUUCAUUAUAUGUUUUUCUCCUAUAAUUGGCCUACUUGUUUACACAAGUCUGAAUUCCUAAAGGUUCAGGAGUAUUUCAAUGUUGCUAAAGAAAGAUACAAGGAUCAGUGCCGUAACAUUGUUGAAAGACAAUCAGACACAGACACCAUGCAGCAGCACUGCACCCUGCAGUUCAUGCUCUGCUCACCAUGACCUGCCUCCUCAUCAUCAGACAUACUCAUGUGUACUAGGAUCUCCUCACCAUCGAAGUUCAUGUGUCCUCUAGAUCAAGCCUAUGCAUGUGAGCUGAAGAAUUGUUUGCCUGUUCACAAUUGGUGAUUGAAGGGUGGCCGGUGACUUCCAUAAUUUUCUUGUAGUUGUUUGUUGGAUAAUCUUUAAAAUUAGGAUUGUAGAGAACUUUACAUUACUGUAAAACUUCAUCUUCUUGGUGUUGCUGCUUACAUAUUCCAUUAUGCUAACUCAGCAACACUUUUAGCAGAAAUUGGUUGUUUAUGCAGACACGUGGUGUAGUAAAAUUGAAGAUUUAGCUCCCUCAUUGCAUACUUAUGCUA